CCGACAAAGUGCGGAGCACUGCUUGGCCAAAGUUCGAUUCCAUUGUUUUCAACACAACCCUGCACACCGGUGCUGAUGUCCGAGGACACACAUUGACUAGGCCUAUCCAUGCUCUGCUGUGGUGAAAUUGUGUGUGGUGGUCGGAAUUGUGUCGGAAGCGAAAGUGCUCAGAGGUCAAGCAGCCCCCCAUGUGGUCUGGACGUAUUAGUGUAGGUAGUGUCUGAACUAUGUGCUAACAAUAGCCAUACAGACUAUCAUAACACAACAUUUUAAUCCAUCUAUUUGAGAAAAAGAAGGGAAAUUGUGUUGUUCACCACUUAGUAUGUUUGCCAAUGGGAUGUUUUCUGUUUCAGUGUCUAGUUUCACAACUGGUAUUACUGAACCAAUGACCAGAGAAGAGUUCAUGAAGUAUUACUGUUACUUCACACUGGACCCACGCACGGCACACAAUAGCCUCCUUCUGUCUGAGGGAAACAGGGCAGCGAAGAGGACGGAUGAGCCCCAGGUUUAUUCUGACCAUGCAGAGAGGUUCGAUAGCUGGCCUCAGGUGCUGUGUAGAGAGGGUGUAUCUGGUCGCUGCUACUGGGAGGUCGAGUGGAGUGGGGUGUGUGUGUCAGUAGCUGUGAUAUAUAGAAACAUGCACAGGAGAGGGGGAAGUACUAAGUCAGUGUAUGGAUGUAACGAUCAGUCGUGGGGCAUGGAACUUUCCAAAAGCACUUCCUUAUUCUGGCACAAAAAUAAAGAGACUAAACUCCCUCUUGUGGACAGCUCCAGAAUAGGAGUGUAUGUGAACCACUGUUCAGGAACUCUGGCUUUCUACAGCAUCUCUGAUGAUACAAUGAAUCUUCUGCACAAAGUGGAGACAACAUUCACACACAGCCUCUUUCCUGGGUUUAGAUUAAAUAAUAAAUCAUCUGUUAGGCUCUU
Engraulis encrasicolus (European anchovy) is the source of this 927-nucleotide long non-coding RNA. RefSeq lists it as uncharacterized. The transcript is spliced from 3 exons. NCBI's taxonomy places the organism in Eukaryota, Metazoa, Chordata, Actinopteri, Clupeiformes, Engraulidae. The record is from RefSeq and is a predicted model, not a curated record.